AUUGAACGCUGGCGGCGUGCCUAACACACCGUUUUGUCGAGCGGUAACAGGUGUAGCAAUACAUGCUGACGAGCGGCGGACGGGUGAGUAACGCUUGGGAAUCUGCCUGUUAGUGGGGGACAACCCGGGGAAACUCGGGCUAAUACCGCAUACGCACUACGGUGGAAAGCCGGGGACCGCAAGGCCUGGCGCUAACAGAUGAGCCCAAGUCGGAUUAGCUAGUUGGUAGGGUAACGGCCUACCAAGGCGACGAUCCGUAACUGGUCUGAGAGGACGACCAGUCACACCGGAACUGAGACACGGUCCGGACUCCUACGGGAGGCAGCAGUGGGGAAUAUUGGACAAUGGGGGCAACCCUGAUCCAGCGACGCCGCGUGGGUGAAGAAGGCCUGCGGGUUGUAAAGCCCUUUCGGUUGGGAAGAAAAGCUGCGACCUAACACGUUGCGGCCUUGACGUAACCAACUAAAGAAGCACCGGCUAACUCUGUGCCAGCAGCCGCGGUAAUACAGAGGGUGCGAGCGUUAAUCGGAAUUACUGGGCGUAAAGCGCGCGUAGGCGGCUUUGCAAGCCGGAUGUGAAAUCCCCGGGCUUAACCUGGGAACUGCAUUCGGGACUGCAUUGCUAGAGUAUGGGAGAGGGAAGUGGAAUUUCAGGUGUAGCGGUGAAAUGCGUAGAUAUCU
This 680-nucleotide ribosomal RNA is filed under the name uncultured Gammaproteobacteria bacterium. RNAcentral's name for it is "bacterial SSU rRNA". It matches the Rfam family "Bacterial small subunit ribosomal RNA", at positions 28 to 699 of the family's 1533-position model. Lineage: Bacteria; Pseudomonadati; Pseudomonadota; Gammaproteobacteria. The record is from RNAcentral.